RNAcentral lists this ribosomal RNA (253 nucleotides) under uncultured bacterium. Its description in RNAcentral is "partial 16S ribosomal RNA". It matches the Rfam family "Bacterial small subunit ribosomal RNA", at positions 524 to 776 of the family's 1533-position model. The record is from RNAcentral.
UCCGUAGGGGGCUAGCGUUGUUCGGAAUUACUGCGCGUAAAGCGCACGUAGGCGGAUUCUUAAGUCUGGGGUGAAAGCCCGGAGCUCAACUCCGGAACUGCCUUGGAUACUGGGAGUCUCGAGGAUGGAAGAGGUCAGUGGAAUGCCGAGUGUAGAGGUGAAAUUCGUAGAUAUUCGGCGGAACACCAGUGGCGAAGGCGACUGGCUGGUCCAUUUCUGACGCUGAGGUGCGAAAGUGUGGGGAGCAAACAGG